This 479-nucleotide ribosomal RNA is filed under the name uncultured bacterium. Its description in RNAcentral is "partial 16S ribosomal RNA". It matches the Rfam family "Bacterial small subunit ribosomal RNA", at positions 28 to 507 of the family's 1533-position model. The record is from RNAcentral.
GAUGAACGCUAGCGGGAGGCCUAACACAUGCAAGCCGAGCGGUAUUUGUUCUUCGGAACAGAGAGAGCGGCGCACGGGUGCGGAACACGUGUGCAACCUGCCUUUAUCUGGGGGAUAGCCUUUCGAAAGGAAGAUUAAUACCCCAUAAUAUAUUGAGUGGCAUCAUUUGAUAUUGAAAACUCCGGUGGAUAGAGAUGGGCACGCGCAAGAUUAGAUAGUUGGUGAGAUAACGGCUCACCAAGUCAAUGAUCUUUAGGGGGCCUGAGAGGGUGAUCCCCCACACUGGUACUGAGACACGGACCAGACUCCUACGGGAGGCAGCAGUGAGGAAUAUUGGACAAUGGGUUAGCGCCUGAUCCAGCCAUCCCGCGUGAAGGACGACGGCCCUAUGGGUUGUAAACUUCUUUUGUAUAGGGAUAAACCUACUCUCGUGAGAGUAGCUGAAGGUACUAUACGAAUAAGCACCGGCUAACUCCGUG